RNAcentral lists this small RNA (983 nucleotides) under Pan troglodytes (chimpanzee). RNAcentral describes it as "processed transcript". The record is from RNAcentral. Lineage: Eukaryota; Metazoa; Chordata; Mammalia; Primates; Hominidae.
UCUGGCCCGGGGAAGUCCCUGUCCUUACCUUCAGCAGGAGCCAGUUCCCUGUCUGUGUGUCCGCUCGCCCUCUGCUCCGUCCUGCCGCUGCCCACUGCCCUCCUACGGUCCACCAUGGCCCUGCUGCACUCCGGCCGCGUCCUCCCCGGGAUCGCCGCCGCCUUCCACCCGGGCCUCGCCGCCGCGGCCUCUGCCAGAGCCAGCUCCUGGUGGACCCAUGUGGAAAUGGGACCUCCAGAUCCCAUUCUGGGAGUCACUGAAGCCUUUAAGAGGGACACCAAUAGCAAAAAGAUGAAUCUGGGAGUUGGUGCCUACCGGGAUGAUAACGGAAAGCCUUACGUGCUGCCUAGCGUCCGCAAGGCAGAGGCCCAGAUUGCCGCAAAAAAUUUGGACAAGGAAUACCUGCCCAUUGGGGGACUGGCUGAAUUUUGCAAGGCAUCUGCAGAACUAGCCCUGGGUGAGAACAGCGAAGUCUUGAAGAGUGGCCGGUUUGUCACUGUGCAGACCAUUUCUGGAACUGGAGCCUUAAGGAUCGGAGCCAGUUUUCUGCAAAGAUUUUUUAAGUUCAGCCGAGAUGUCUUUCUGCCCAAACCAACCUGGGGAAACCACACACCCAUCUUCAGGGAUGCUGGCAUGCAGCUACAAGGUUAUCGGUAUUAUGACCCCAAGACUUGCGGUUUUGACUUCACAGGCGCUGUGGAGGAUAUUUCAAAAAUACCAGAGCAGAGUGUUCUUCUUCUGCAUGCCUGCGCCCACAAUCCCACAGGAGUGGACCCGCGUCCGGAACAGUGGAAGGAAAUAGCAACAGUGGUGAAGGUGAGCGUGUAGGAGCCUUCACUAUGGUCUGCAAAGAUGCGGAUGAAGCCAAAAGGGUAGAGUCACAGUUGAAGAUCUUGAUCCGUCCCAUGUAUUCCAACCCUCCCCUCAAUGGGGCCCGGAUUGCUGCUGCCAUUCUGAACACCCCAGAUUUGCGAAAACAAUGG